UAGGGAAUCUUCGGCAAUGGACGAAAGUCUGACCGAGCAACGCCGCGUGAGUGAAGAAGGUUUUCGGAUCGUAAAACUCUGUUGUUAGAGAAGAACAAGGACGUUAGUAACUGAACGUCCCCUGACGGUAUCUAACCAGAAAGCCACGGCUAACUACGUGCCAGCAGCCGCGGUAAUACGUAGGUGGCAAGCGUUGUCCGGAUUUAUUGGGCGUAAAGCGAGCGCAGGCGGUUUCUUAAGUCUGAUGUGAAAGCCCCCGGCUCAACCGGGGAGGGGCAUUGGAAACUGGGAGACUUGAGUGCAGAAGAGGAGAGUGGAAUUCCAUGUGGAGCGGUGAAAUGCGUAGAUAUAUGGAGGAACACCAGUGGCGAAGGCGGCUCUCUGGUCUGUAACUGACGCUGAGGCUCGAAAGCGUGGGGAGCAAACAGG
RNAcentral lists this ribosomal RNA (429 nucleotides) under Gemmatimonadota bacterium. RNAcentral describes it as "Gemmatimonadetes bacterium partial 16S ribosomal RNA". It matches the Rfam family "Bacterial small subunit ribosomal RNA", at positions 355 to 776 of the family's 1533-position model. The record is from RNAcentral. Lineage: Bacteria; Pseudomonadati; Gemmatimonadota.